RNAcentral lists this ribosomal RNA (443 nucleotides) under Salmonella enterica subsp. enterica serovar Bovismorbificans. RNAcentral's name for it is "bacterial SSU rRNA". It matches the Rfam family "Bacterial small subunit ribosomal RNA", at positions 1100 to 1533 of the family's 1533-position model. The record is from RNAcentral. Lineage: Bacteria; Pseudomonadati; Pseudomonadota; Gammaproteobacteria; Enterobacterales; Enterobacteriaceae.
AACCCUUAUCCUUUGUUGCCAGCGAUUAGGUCGGGAACUCAAAGGAGACUGCCAGUGAUAAACUGGAGGAAGGUGGGGAUGACGUCAAGUCAUCAUGGCCCUUACGACCAGGGCUACACACGUGCUACAAUGGCGCAUACAAAGAGAAGCGACCUCGCGAGAGCAAGCGGACCUCAUAAAGUGCGUCGUAGUCCGGAUUGGAGUCUGCAACUCGACUCCAUGAAGUCGGAAUCGCUAGUAAUCGUGGAUCAGAAUGCCACGGUGAAUACGUUCCCGGGCCUUGUACACACCGCCCGUCACACCAUGGGAGUGGGUUGCAAAAGAAGUAGGUAGCUUAACCUUCGGGAGGGCGCUUACCACUUUGUGAUUCAUGACUGGGGUGAAGUCGUAACAAGGUAACCGUAGGGGAACCUGCGGUUGGAUCACCUCCUUACCUUAAAGAA